GAACACACUGGGGAAAGUAUUAGCAUACAUAUAUUUUUUUAAGUAUUAACAGAAUAUUUAAUAUUAUAUUAUUGGGCAAGAUCACGUCGAUUAGAGGUUCUGAAUGUCGGCUUUGAUUAAUUUUCGAUUACUGUCAACUAUCGCUUGGCAAUUAAUCUCUAAAAUUUCCGAUUCCUCUUCAAGUUUCAAGAUUGACACAUCACAGAAAUACAUAUUUAAACUUAUGGUAAUUUAUGGCUGUCGUCCUGUUUUAAAAAGACGCCAAUCGGCUAAAAUAGUUGGAUAGGAGGAAGAGAUCGAGAGACGAAGAGCACGUGACAUUGAAUUCGGAAAACAAUAAAGCCCCCCCCCCCUUGGGCUUGGCGCCGAUUCUGGCAGGCUGUCACCUCGGAACGAUAAUCAACGGUGGGAUUGCGAGCUACAGCCGCGCCUCGCAGUGCCUCCGGAGCAGCUGCUGGCAGAUGUUGGUGCCCCUAGCUGGCAGGUGGGGCCACAGCACACACGGGCAAGGUGUUUGCCGUGAUGCCACACAAGCUGGCUGGCGGGUUACGCCCCGCCCCCCCUUCCGGCACUAUACCCCGCUCUCUGCGGUCCGUAGGCACCAGACAGAUGUGACGUCAGGAUGCCGAUGGCGAGAGGGACCCCGGCAGAUGACAUUCUCGAGCGAAACCGCACAUCCCAGCGCAUUUUAACCGGAUUAGAAUUAAAACUGCGUAUGUGGUAUAUUCUGGAAGCGGAAAAACAAUACUGGCAAAAAAGAAGCCAAACGAUCUUUUAUUGCAUGGGGUGGGACACUGAAGUUAAAUUUCGUUCUUAAUAGUGCAAAUGAAAAACAAUAAAUAGAAUAUAAAUACUGGUCAAUACAAACAGCAGAAGCAUGACAUUUUAAGACAUGGACAUUAAGACACAGACAAAGAGAUACUGUUAGCCUUUCAUUUCCUUUCAGUUAUUUAUAAUAUGUUAAUUUUUAAAACAACACAAGGACUCAGUUGACCCCUGUAUCAAAUAUAUUAAUAUAGAAUUAGUGAGAGCUGCAUUUUGGAAAACAACCUGUCAGAAUUCAUUAUGAGAGGUACUUUCAAAUUAUAUAUAUAAAAAAAUAGUAGGCAUAUAUGAUUUCUGUAAUUUAAAGAGUGUAAAGUUCUCAGAGCUGCAGCGCUGUUUGUGGAGAUGACAAUACAGUAUCUCCCCAUGCUUACUGCAGUGCCCUUGGCGUGAGAGUGAACGGUGCUGAACCUGCACACCACUCACAGAGAACCAUGACAUUACACUUCCCAGGAUGGUCUCCAGACCCCCGCAAAACUAACUGGAUAAACGGUACGGACACAGAUGGAAUAACAUCUUUCCCACCGCCGUUUUAAAAGGCAGAGUCGUAGAUAAAUCACUUUAUAUAAAUCCAGAGUCGCAGCCAUGUAAAUCACAUACAUGCAUUACUACUAUAAAUAUUUAUAACCCAAAAACGUUUCAUGUGCCACGGCAAACCCUCCUUCAAAACCACUGGUGUAGACCCCUUAAAUAAUCAGUGACAGUCUGCUCAGUGUAACACGUGGACAUUUAGUGUAACUGUUGAGUUGUGAUGUACAUUUGCUCUUCACUGCUCUGAUGCAGCCUCCAAGUCUGUGGGGCUUGUCUUCGGCCUAUGGAGGGCAAUUUGAUUUUUCUCAUAUGUACGUGCUCAGGUACCACACUGUAUGAAUUGUUCUUACUAUUUUAUUCAUAAUGAGAGUGUUAAUGGGAACAAAUAAUAAUGACCACGUGUUUCAAAAUACUAAUGAAUAUAUCAGGUAAAAAAAUGCUCCGCCUAAGUUCCUUAAGUGUGUCGGGCCAACCAGAUGAUGGCAUUUCACAUCGGUCCACUAGAGGGCGCAAGAGAGUAAAUUAUCAUUAAUAAGAGUAGCCGGGUCCAACGGUAGAGUCAAUUUACUGUAAACGGCAGUGUGAACAUUAAAAAAAAAAGAAAAACAUUACUUUAAAAUAUACAAUGAAUGAAUUACGUUCAUGCAAAUAACCUGUAAAAACCAGGAUUAGGUUUUCUUUUUCAUUGUCAUUUAUGUCUAACCAAAUUAGUUUUAAGAAGUUACAUAACAGAAAAAAAGGUUUUAAAACUCAAUCACCCUGUUUCUCCCCUCCCUUACAUAUACAUGAAAGGAUUCUCAUUUACUUUUUUGUUAUAGUCAGUAUAAUCUACUAAACAGCCUCUUUCCAAACCUGGCAAUAACAGCAAAUUCAUAAAAGCAGGCACAGAACAAACCAGAAGUUUUCAAACAAGUAUUAUAAAACAAGACCUGGGGA
This is a non-coding RNA of Paramormyrops kingsleyae, 2292 nucleotides long. Lineage: Eukaryota; Metazoa; Chordata; Actinopteri; Osteoglossiformes; Mormyridae. The record is from RefSeq and is a predicted model, not a curated record.